GUCUCUUUGGUAUUUAUAAUAUGGAGAGUUUUGCCUGCCCGGUGAUUGUGUAGUUUAACGGCCGCAGUACUUUGACUGUGCGAAGGUAGCAUAAUAAUUUGCCUUAUAAUUGAAGGCUUGUAUGAAUGGUUUGACGAGAAUAAAUCUGUCUUAAUUAAAUUUUUUAGAAUUUAACUUUUAAGUGAAGAGGCUUUUAUUUUAUUGAUAGACAAGAAGACCCUGUCGAGCUUAAAUUUUUGUUUUUAAUAAUUAUUUUUAUAUUAAUUUUAGGUUUUAGUUGGGGUGACUGAGGAAUAAUAUAAGUUUCCUUGUAAGAUUUUAGUUUUAUUGAUUUUGAUCCAUUAUGUUUUAAUGAUUAGUAGAAUUAGUUACCGCAGGGAUAACAGCAUAAUCAUUUUUGAGAGUUCAUAUCGAAAAAAUGGUUUGUGACCUCGAUGUUGGAUUAAAGUGUCCUAAGGGUGCAGAAGUUCUUAAGGGUUAGUCUGUUCGACUAUUAAAACUUU
RNAcentral lists this ribosomal RNA (503 nucleotides) under Diplopoma pujalsi. RNAcentral's name for it is "partial 16S ribosomal RNA". It matches the Rfam family "Bacterial large subunit ribosomal RNA", at positions 1817 to 2597 of the family's 2925-position model. The record is from RNAcentral. Lineage: Eukaryota; Metazoa; Mollusca; Gastropoda; Littorinimorpha; Annulariidae.